Sorex fumeus (smoky shrew) is the source of this 102-nucleotide small nucleolar RNA. RefSeq annotates it as small nucleolar RNA U13. The transcript has a single exon. Lineage: Eukaryota; Metazoa; Chordata; Mammalia; Eulipotyphla; Soricidae. The record is from RefSeq and is a predicted model, not a curated record.
ACCCUUCCAGUUCAUAAACAUGUUGAUUGGAUGCUCACAUAUUUGUGUGAACUGUGUCUCUCUUAAAUCUCAUUAUACAUUUGGAAUAUUACCCUUCUGAUG